CCUACGGGAGACAGCAGUGGGGAAUAUUGGGCAAUGGGCGCAAGCCUGACCCAGCAACGCCGCGUGAAGGAAGAAGGCUUUCGGGUUGUAAACUUCUUUUGUCAGGGAAGAGUAGAAGACGGUACCUGACGAAUAAGCCACGGCUAACUACGUGCCAGCAGCCGCGGUAAUACGUAGGUGGCAAGCGUUGUCCGGAUUUACUGGGUGUAAAGGGCGUGUAGCCGUGUUUACAAGUCAGAUGUGAAAUCCUGCGGCUUAACCGCAGAACUGCAUUUGAAACUGUUGAUCUUGAGUACUGGAGAGGCAGACGGAAUUCCUAGUGUAGCGGUGAAAUGCGGAGAUAUUAGGAGGAACACCAGUGGCGAAGGCGGUCUGCUGGACAGCAACUGACGGUGAGGCGCGAAAGCGUGGGGAGCAAACAGGAUUAGAUACCCCAGUAGUC
Molecule: ribosomal RNA, 442 nt
Filed under: uncultured bacterium
Lineage: Bacteria
Description: partial 16S ribosomal RNA
Rfam family: Bacterial small subunit ribosomal RNA
Source: RNAcentral